GAAGUGCGAUAAGCAAUGCGAAUUGCAGAACCGUGAGUCAUCAGAUUUUUGAACGCAACUGGCGCCGGUUGGCUCUCCAACCGGCAUGCUUGUUUCAGUGUCUCUUUAUCUCAUCACCCAUAUCAUAAUGCGAGAGAUACCCUUCUCUUGCUAAGCUCGAAAGCACUCUGCGCUCUGCGAGCGGCUUCGACUUGUUCGAGGGUCGCACUCAAUGCAGCCGUCACAUUGCUCACAAUGUGAACUCAUUGAGAGCUGAGGCACUGUAGCGUAAGCUACCAGUGCUUAGUCACACAAACUUUACUUGCAUCUGGAAUCAAGCAGGAUCACCCGCUGAACUUAAGC
This 342-nucleotide unclassified non-coding RNA is filed under the name plant metagenome. RNAcentral describes it as "partial contains 5.8S ribosomal RNA, internal transcribed spacer 2, and large subunit ribosomal RNA". The stretch from base 1 to 103 matches the Rfam family "5.8S ribosomal RNA", at positions 50 to 154 of the family's 154-position model. The record is from RNAcentral.